GCAUAUCAAUAAGCGGAGGAAAAGAAACUAACAAGGAUUCCCCUAGUAACUGCGAGUGAAGCGGGAAGAGCUCAAAUUUAAAAUCUGGCGGUCCUUUGGCCGUCCGAGUUGUAUUCURGAGAAGUGCUUUCCGCGCUGGACCGUGUAUAAGUCUCUUGGAACAGAGCGUCAUAGAGGGUGARAAUCCCGUCUUUGACACGGACUACCAGUGCUUUGUGAUGCGCUCUCAAAGAGUCGAGUUGUUUGGGAAUGCAGCUCAAAAUGGGUGGUAAAUUCCAUCUAAAGCUAAAUAUUGGCGAGAGACCGAUAGCGAACAAGUACCGUGAGGGAAAGAUGAAAAGCACUUUGGAAAGAGAGUUAAACAGUACGUGAAAUUGUUGAAAGGGAAACGCUUGAAGUCAGUCGCGUUAGCCGGAACUCAGCCUUGCCUUCCGCUUGGUGUAUUUUCCGGUUGACGGGCCAGCAUCGAUUUUGACCGCUGGAUAAGGGCUAGGGGAAUGUGGCACCUUCGGGUGUGUUAUAGUCUCUGGUCGUAUACAGUGGUCGGGAUCGAGGACCGCAGCCUUCGGGUUUAGGAUGCUGGCGUAAUGGCUUUAAACGACCCGUCUUGAAACACGGACC
Molecule: ribosomal RNA, 621 nt
Filed under: Neolentinus lepideus
Lineage: Eukaryota; Fungi; Basidiomycota; Agaricomycetes; Gloeophyllales; Gloeophyllaceae
Description: eukaryotic LSU rRNA
Rfam family: Eukaryotic large subunit ribosomal RNA
Source: RNAcentral